UUCCCCCCUUUCCCCCAAACCCCAGCUUGCAUUCCCCGUUCCGGCGCCGCCGACGGCCACCUGCACCGCCAGCGAUGGCCGCCGCCGACGCUGACGACGUCGCUCCGCCCACCGCGUCCGGCUACCUCGACCCCUCCUACUGGGACGAGCGGUUCGGGAAGGAGGAGCACUACGAGUGGUUCAAGGACUUCUCCCACUUCCGCCACCUCCUCGCCCCGCUCCUCUCCCCGUCCCUCUCGGUCCUCGAGGUUGGGUGCGGCAACUCGCGUCUUGGGGAGGAGCUCCUGCGGGAGGGCGUCGCCGGCGGCAUCACCUGCGUCGACCUCUCCCCCGUCGCCGUCCAGCGGAUGCGCGACCGCCUUGCCGCGCAGGGCACCAAAGGUGUGGAUGUUGUGGUGGCUGACAUGCUUGACCUGCCGUUCGAGCCAGAGAGCUUUGACCUCGUGAUCGAGAAGGGCACCAUGGACGUAUUGUUUGUGGACAGUGGCGAUCCAUGGAACCCCAAUCCUACAACAGUAAAUAACGUGAUGAAAAUGCUUGAAUGUAUCCACAGGGUUUUGAAGCCAGAAGGCAUAUUUGUAUCAAUUACCUUCGGACAGCCACACUUUCGACGUCGAUUUUUUGAAGCUCCUGAGUUUACAUGGUCUGUUGAGUACAGUACCUUUGGUGACGGCUUCCAUUAUUUCUUCUACAUGCUUCAGAAGGGCAAGAGGUCACUGGAGUCCAAUAGUUACCAAAAUAUAAUACCUGCUGCUCCAAGAAUAAAUAUGGUCCAUGAAGAGCUCGAGAGCGAAGAUUUUAUAUUCCGCACAAAUGUAGAGGAGUUGUGAGUGGCAGGUUAACAAGAGGCUGCCAUGAUCUUUGAAGGUUUGAUGAAGGCAUGAAGCUAACACAUCAAAAGAGGGGCCAGUCCAGCAUUGGAACGAUAACUAGGGUGGGAUCUUGGAAAUUGCAUGGCUUGGUUUGAGUUGGAUGCAGAAGGAGCUGGAAAAAUAAAUAUGGGCAAGCGGUCACCGGAGUCCAGCAGUUAUCAAAAUUCACUACCUGCUGCUCCAAGAAUAAAUAUGGUACAUGAAGAGUUCGAGAGCGAGGAUUUAUUCAAUAUGUGUAUUUCUUUUCUGAAUCCGUCAGUUGAGAUAUUGAGGCUAGGUUUUAGAAUAUGGCCAUUUCGUUGUACUGUGGAGCCAAAACAAACUCUCAUGACUGAAAAAAAAAAGCCUCUGGCGAGAGGUGCUCCGGGCAACAGUGGUGGUGUCCGGUGGACGGUUCACUUGCCUCGGCAGUGGUUGGCAAGUGUGUUUUCCUUCUA
RNA transcript from Panicum hallii, 1309 nucleotides. It is a transcript of the gene named EEF1A lysine methyltransferase 4, with no coding region annotated. Lineage: Eukaryota; Viridiplantae; Streptophyta; Magnoliopsida; Poales; Poaceae. The transcript is spliced from 9 exons. The record is from RefSeq and is a predicted model, not a curated record.